GUGCCAGCAGCCGCGGUAAUACGUAGGGUGCAAGCGUUGUCCGGAAUUAUUGGGCGUAAAGAGCUCGUAGGCGGUCUGUCGCGUCGGAUGUGAAAACCCGGGGCUUAACCCCGGGCCUGCAUUCGAUACGGGCAGACUCGAGUGUGGUAGGGGAGACUGGAACUCCUGGUGUAGCGGUGAAAUGCGCAGAUAUCAGGAAGAACACCGGUGGCGAAGGCGGGUCUCUGGGCCACUACUGACGCUGAGGAGCGAAAGCGUGGGGAGCAAACAGGAUUAGAUACCCUAGUAGUCC
This 292-nucleotide ribosomal RNA is filed under the name uncultured bacterium. RNAcentral's name for it is "partial 16S ribosomal RNA". It matches the Rfam family "Bacterial small subunit ribosomal RNA", at positions 505 to 796 of the family's 1533-position model. The record is from RNAcentral.